UCUGGAUGUGGUGUCAUUCACCUGUAGUCCCAGCUACUUGGGAGGAUGAGGCAGGAGGAUCACUUGAGUCCAGGAGUUCCAGGUUGCAGUGCACUAGGCCCUUUGGGUGUCAGCACUGAGUUUUCCAUCAGUAUGGUGACCUCCUCAAAGUAGGGGAACUCUGCCAGGUUGCUAAGGAGGGAUGAACUGGCCCAGGUCAGAAACCAAGCAGCUAAAAACUCCCAUUGUAAACAGUAGUGGGGUGGCGCCUGUGUAUAUCUACUGCACUCCAGCCUGGGCAGUAGAACAAGACCUCAU
This 297-nucleotide signal recognition particle RNA is filed under the name Carlito syrichta (Philippine tarsier). Its description in RNAcentral is "Metazoan signal recognition particle RNA (ENSTSYG00000028773.1)". It matches the Rfam family "Metazoan signal recognition particle RNA". From Rfam's summary of the family: The signal recognition particle (SRP) is a universally conserved ribonucleoprotein. It is involved in the co-translational targeting of proteins to membranes. Lineage: Eukaryota; Metazoa; Chordata; Mammalia; Primates; Tarsiidae. The record is from RNAcentral.